AAGCUCAGAGAGCGUCUGAUUUACAGUCAGAAAGUGGGAUAUACCAUCCCCAUCUUUA
Molecule: transfer RNA, 58 nt
Filed under: Anadara broughtonii
Lineage: Eukaryota; Metazoa; Mollusca; Bivalvia; Arcoida; Arcidae
Description: tRNA-Val
Source: RNAcentral